AGUGAACGCUGGCGGUAGGCCUAACACAUGCAAGUCGAACGGCAGCACAGUAAGAGCUUGCUCUUACGGGUGGCGAGUGGCGGACGGGUGAGGAAUACAUCGGAAUCUACUUUUUCGUGGGGGAUAACGUAGGGAAACUUACGCUAAUACCGCAUACGACCUACGGGUGAAAGCAGGGGAUCUUCGGACCUUGCGCGAUUGAAUGAGCCGAUGUCGGAUUAGCUAGUUGGCGGGGUAAAGGCCCACCAAGGCGACGAUCCGUAGCUGGUCUGAGAGGAUGAUCAGCCACACUGGAACUGAGACACGGUCCAGACUCCUACGGGAGGCAGCAGUGGGGAAUAUUGGACAAUGGGCGCAAGCCUGAUCCAGCCAUACCGCGUGGGUGAAGAAGGCCUCCGGGUUGUAAAGCCCUUUUGUUGGGAAAGAAAAGCAGCAGGUUAAUACCCCGCUGUUCUGACGGUACCCAAAGAAUAAACACCGGCUAACUUCGUG
RNAcentral lists this ribosomal RNA (492 nucleotides) under uncultured bacterium. Its description in RNAcentral is "partial 16S ribosomal RNA". It matches the Rfam family "Bacterial small subunit ribosomal RNA", at positions 29 to 507 of the family's 1533-position model. The record is from RNAcentral.